GAUGAACGCUGGCGGCGUGCCUAAUACAUGCAAGUCGAGCGAACAGACGAGGAGCUUGCUCCUCUGACGUUAGCGGCGGACGGGUGAGUAACACGUGGAUAACCUACCUAUAAGACUGGGAUAACUUCGGGAAACCGGAGCUAAUACCGGAUAAUAUAUUGAACCGCAUGGUUCAAUAGUGAAAGACGGUUUUGCUGUCACUUAUAGAUGGAUCCGCGCCGCAUUAGCUAGUUGGUAAGGUAACGGCUUACCAAGGCAACGAUGCGUAGCCGACCUGAGAGGGUGAUCGGCCACACUGGAACUGAGACACGGUCCAGACUCCUACGGGAGGCAGCAGUAGGUAAUCUUCCGCAAUGGGCGAAAGCCUGACGGAGCGACGCCGCGUGAGUGAUGAAGGUCUUCGGAUCGUAAAACUCUGUCAUUAGGGAAGAACAAAUGUGUAAGUAACUAUGCACGUCUUGACGGUACCUAAUCAGAAAGCCACGGCUAACUACGUG
Molecule: ribosomal RNA, 497 nt
Filed under: uncultured bacterium
Lineage: Bacteria
Description: partial 16S ribosomal RNA
Rfam family: Bacterial small subunit ribosomal RNA
Source: RNAcentral